UACAUACAUUCCACCAUUACAAUUCAUUCUCCAUGAUUUUGUGCAUUAACCGCAAGUUCCUAACACUCAUGUAAAUGUAUACAUAAUAACAGAACAUAGUACAUAAACACAUAUACAACUAACCAAAUCUCAAGAAAAUUAACGUAUCCCUUGAACAAUGUCGGUCGGGUACCAUAAAAUUGGUGAAUUAUCAAGCUGUCCAUAGUUUUUUCCACCAAGCAUUGUUCCAAUAACCUGUAGCUGGGGACAAUAGCUAGGUAUUCCCAAGUUCUGGUAUUCAGAUUAUUUUGAGCUGAAUUCAAUAGUUAUCAGAAAGUUAAGGAAAUCAAAAGAUAAAAAACUCCUCUCUCUAUGGUCAACUCAUGAUAAUACUUUGUCAAAAAAAUAGUUUAUACCAUUUUGUUCAACAUUUUUCAGCUCCUUAAGCUCACGUCUGGCUGCAGGUAUGGUUGCGGUUCAUUCAUCAGGUUCUGCAAAUCUGCUCUGGUGAAACCUGGUGUUCAAUAUGAAACCUUAUCAAAUUCAACAUCCUUCAAAACAACAAUAAUUCGUUACAAAUUUACUACCAAUAUCGCAAAGACCAUCUCUACCUUAAUAUGGCCAACCAAACCCUCUGAAAAUAGAACAACUUUGAAGCAACAUUUGAAAUAUAGAUGAAGACACCAAAAUACAAUAGAAAUUAACUCGAAGUUGGACAAAAUAUGCACAACAGUAUAUUUCCCUAGAUUUUCAAACUAAUGCAUAUACAUUUAUAGCAUAUUAAGCCGAAGUAUAUAACAGUUUCCAUAAGAGAUAACUA
RNAcentral lists this long non-coding RNA (799 nucleotides) under Erythranthe guttata (spotted monkey flower). RNAcentral's name for it is "long non-coding RNA (EGUT_LNC002756)". The record is from RNAcentral. Lineage: Eukaryota; Viridiplantae; Streptophyta; Magnoliopsida; Lamiales; Phrymaceae.